This is a non-coding RNA of Hydra vulgaris (swiftwater hydra), 264 nucleotides long. NCBI's taxonomy places the organism in Eukaryota, Metazoa, Cnidaria, Hydrozoa, Anthoathecata, Hydridae. The record is from RefSeq and is a predicted model, not a curated record.
UUUGGAUACAAAAGACCAAGUGAAAAUGAUACUGGAAAGACUGUUUACUGUUUGACUCCUUUCCCAAUCUAACCUAGUGGGUUCAAAAAGAAAGGACCGCGCUGGAAACAUGAGGAGGUUAAAUAGAUCAGCCCUUUUUGAAUUAAUAAUUGUCGUAGCCAGCUCGUAUGAAAGGAUUUCUCGACUCGAAAUAGCUAAUUUUAUUCAACUACGCCAAGAAACAGAGCUCGCUCAAGAAACAGAGGAGAAAGAGAAAGAUGAAGA